CCAGCAGCUGCGGUAAUUUCUGCUCCAAUAGCGUAUAUUAAAGUUGUUGCGGUUAAAAAGCUCGUAGUUGGAUUUCUGCUGAGAACGACCGGUCCGCCCUCUGGGUGUGUAUCUGGCUCUUUCUUGGCAUCUUCUUGGUGAACGUUACUGCACUUGACUGUGUGGAGCGCUACCCAGGACUUUUACUUUGAGGAAAUUAGAGUGUUUCAGGCAGGCUAGGCCGGAAUACAUUAGCAUGGAAUAAUGGAAUAGGACUACGGUCUCUUUGUUGGUUGAGGGGCUGCAGUAAUGAUUAAUAGGGAUAGUUGGGGGCAUUAGUACUUAACUGUCAGAGGUGAAAUUCUCGGAUUUGUUAAAGACUAACUUAUGCGAAAGCAUUUGCCAAGGAUGUUUUCAUUAAUCAAGAACGAAAGU
RNAcentral lists this ribosomal RNA (414 nucleotides) under uncultured eukaryote. Its description in RNAcentral is "SSU rRNA". It matches the Rfam family "Eukaryotic small subunit ribosomal RNA", at positions 567 to 990 of the family's 1831-position model. The record is from RNAcentral.